This 374-nucleotide ribosomal RNA is filed under the name uncultured bacterium. Its description in RNAcentral is "bacterial SSU rRNA". It matches the Rfam family "Bacterial small subunit ribosomal RNA", at positions 521 to 895 of the family's 1533-position model. The record is from RNAcentral.
UAAUACGAAGGGGGCUAGCGUUGUUCGGAAUUACUGGGCGUAAAGCGCGCGCAGGCGGUUCUUCAAGUCAGGGGUGAAAGCCCAGAGCUCAACUCUGGAAUUGCCUUUGAGACUGUAGAGCUUGAGUACGGGAGAGGUGAGUGGAAUUCCCAGUGUAGAGGUGAAAUUCGUAGAUAUUGGGAAGAACACCGGUGGCGAAGGCGGCUCACUGGCCCGUUACUGACGCUCAGGCGCGACAGCGUGGGGAUCAAACAGGAUUAGAUACCCUGGUAGUCCACGCCGUAAACUAUGAACGCUAGCCGUUGGCGGGCUUGCCCGUCAGUGGCGCAGCUAACGCAUUAAGCGUUCCGCCUGGGGAGUACGGCCGCAAGGUU